This 497-nucleotide ribosomal RNA is filed under the name uncultured bacterium. RNAcentral's name for it is "partial 16S ribosomal RNA". It matches the Rfam family "Bacterial small subunit ribosomal RNA", at positions 28 to 507 of the family's 1533-position model. The record is from RNAcentral.
GAUGAACGCUGGCGGCGUGCCUAAUACAUGCAAGUCGAGCGAACAGACGAGGAGCUUGCCCCUCUGACGUUAGCGGUGGACGGGUGAGUAACACGUGGAUAACCUACCUAUAAGACUGGGAUAACUUCGGGAAACCGGAGCUAAUACCGGAUAAUAUAUUGAACCGCAUGGUUCAAUAGUGAAAGACGGUUUUGCUGUCACUUAUAGAUGGAUCCGCGCCGCAUUAGCUAGUUGGUAAGGUAACGGCUUACCAAGGCAACGAUGCGUAGCCGACCUGAGAGGGUGAUCGGCCACACUGGAACUGAGACACGGUCCAGACUCCUACGGGAGGCAGCAGUAGGGAAUCUUCCGCAAUGGGCGAAAGCCUGACGGAGCAACGCCGCGUGAGUGAUGAAGGUCUUCGGAUCGUAAAACUCUGUUAUUAGGGAAGAACAAAUGUGUAAGUAACUAUGCACGUCUUGACGGUACCUAAUCAGAAAGCCACGGCUAACUACGUG